AGUGAACGCUGGCGGUAGGCCUAACACAUGCAAGUCGAACGGCAGCACAGUAAGAGCUUGCUCUUACGGGUGGCGAGUGGCGGACGGGUGAGGAAUACAUCGGAAUCUACUUUUUCGUGGGGGGUAACGUAGGGAAACUUACGCUAAUACCGCAUACGACCUACGGGUAAAAGCAGGGGAUCUUCGGACCUUGCGCGAUUGAAUGAGCCGAUGUCGGAUUAGCUAGUUGGCGGGGUAAAGGCCCACCAAGGCGACGAUCCGUAGCUGGUCUGAGAGGAUGAUCAGCCACACUGGAACUGAGACACGGUCCAGACUCCUACGGGAGGCAGCAGUGGGGAAUAUUGGACAAUGGGCGCAAGCCUGAUCCAGCCAUACCGCGUGGGUGAAGAAGGCCUUCGGGUUGUAAAGCCCUUUUGUUGGGAAAGAAAAGCAGCAGGUUAAUACCCCGCUGUUCUGACGGUACCCAAAGAAUAAGCACCGGCUAACUUCGUG
This 492-nucleotide ribosomal RNA is filed under the name uncultured bacterium. RNAcentral's name for it is "partial 16S ribosomal RNA". It matches the Rfam family "Bacterial small subunit ribosomal RNA", at positions 29 to 507 of the family's 1533-position model. The record is from RNAcentral.